RNAcentral lists this long non-coding RNA (11047 nucleotides) under Ananas comosus (pineapple). Its description in RNAcentral is "long non-coding RNA (ACOM_LNC028000)". The record is from RNAcentral. Lineage: Eukaryota; Viridiplantae; Streptophyta; Magnoliopsida; Poales; Bromeliaceae.
AACAAAAUCACCUCUGAUUUUUUUUUUUCUUCUCUUUUAUUCUUGCAUUAAAUUAUAUUUUUUAACUCCUAUUUAUGCAACAAUUUUUAUUCGUUUAUAGUUUUUUCUUUUUGUUUUCUUUCUUUGUUCUCCAUUGAAUUAUAUUUUCAUUCUAAAAAAAUUUUCAAUAUAUUUUUUUAUUAUUAACCAAUCAAAUAUUGAUUAUUUUCUGCUAUAUUUUUAUAUUUUAUUUAUAUAUUUAAUUUAGAAUUUAUUAUAAUUUUUAUCCACUGCAUCGCCGGAUAAAAACACUAGUUGAUCACUAUGAAGAUGCCAUUGUCUAAGUGUCAAAUGGAGGUCAACUUCAAAACUCCCAGUGGUUUACUCCAAUUUGCAUUUUACCACUACUUUUGAUUGUAUAAUGCAACACUUUGCUAUUUUUCAAUGGCACAUCCUGUGACUAAACGGAGAGCAACAAGCAAGUUUAGUGCUGAAUUUUGAAAUUCUAAAUAAUGGGCGUACAAUCAACUUACGUACACUAUGGUUCGCGUGUUUCACCCACCGAAAAUUUAGGUUAAAAUGGACUUUUGAUUGAACUAGGAUUUAGAUAAAAAUUAUUUGUCCUGCUGUAAAAGAAAAGUCCCUUCAAUUCUGCUAUUUAUUUAGUAGGAAGUCAAUAACGUAAAAACUAUUUUUUUUUUUUACCAUUUAUAUUUAUUUUACUGAAAACUGGCGAAUCCUACAUCUUCGGUAAACUUAUCUUCGUAUACCUCUCUUUUCAUACAGCACGGUCGGCUCUUAUAUUACUUGAUAAAUAAUAAAAAAUAAUAUAAUUAUAUCCUAUAUAUUAUAAUUUAAAACAAUUGAAUUAAUUUUUUCAUACAUAAAUUUAUAACAAUGCAACAAUAAAACGCUGAAAAGAAAAAGAAUAUUAAUACUCAAUUAAUCAAUUUUUUUAUAAUUCAAAUAUGCAAACUAAAUAAAAGAAAAAUUAGUACAACAACUAAAUAUAUUUAUAUUUGAAUGAAAGAGGUGGUAAUCAUAUUACAAAAAUAAAUUUUCUUUUGCGAUAAUUUAUUACUUUUUUUCCUCACUUCUCUUUUUUGUAAUUGACUUCAGCCUAGGGUAAGACAGAGUCUAUUAUGUUAUUUUGAAAAACAUGAGUUAUGGCUGUAUUUAUAUUGCAGUGAAUUAAACAACAAAUUGAUCGUUUACGAUCCAGAACCCACUUUAUCCCUCUCUAUUUUGGACGAAACAAAUAGACUAGGAAAAUCUUUUCAACUCUUUUUUUUUUUCUGGGCAAAACUAACUACAGUUUAGUAGGAUGACUGAUUGGAAAGAAGUUAAAACUGUAGUUACUCAAGUGAAAUAGAUCAAAAUUUGGUGAUUUAAAUAAAAUUUUAACACAAGUUUUGGCCAAUUUUAUUAAAAAAAGAAAAAUGCGUUGGAUAUCUUCUAUAGGGCGGCCUCUAUUAUCAUUCAUGCUGCCACAUGAUAGAUUUUAUUUUUAAAAUUAAUGUGCGAGUACAAUUUAUUUAGUCCGAAGAAACGUCAAUUAGGGUAAGCAAAAGAGUAAAGCCGUCCUAGUGAAAAUUUAAAAUUAAAAUUUAAGGUAUCAAUUUCAAUAGAACGUAUAAAUGAAGGACUUAAUGUAUUUUCAUCCUAGUAAAAAUUCUAGUCGUACUGUUUUCUCUUUUUCUAUUUUUUUUAUUUUACUUUGUUUUUUAAACUCUAGCUGUUUACUGCUUAAAUCUUUCUUUUAAACGAAUUUUAUUUGACUAUGUGCAACUAAUCAGAACGCGAAUUUUCUAUAGCGAGAGGUUUAUGAUUUAUCCAUAAACUGUUUAAUAAAGUAUAUAAAAAAUAUAUGCAUACGGAUAUCCGUAUCCGAUUUAGAUCCGACCCGUACUCGAUUCAUACUCGGUCUUAAACGGAUAAUAUAUGAGCAGUCGCUAUUCAAAUCUGCUCAAAUAGAUCGAAUGAAUAUAUUAUUAACUUAAGUGUUCGGAUGCAGACUUAAUUUGAAAUUAAAUAGGUAGGGUAUAUAUAUUAUUUUUUAUUUAUGUUUUUAAAAUAUAAAUAUUGUAAAUCAACUAUUGAGGCUGGAUCGGGUCCACGGACCCAUUUACCAAAAAGCAUUCCCCUCAUGACUCAUGAGACUAGUAAAAAGGCACGGAAGAUGGCACGAAGGAUGCGUACAAAUAACCAACGCGUACGGACACCCUUUCUGUGUAUAUUCCCCGUUUCAGAGCAGCUGAUUACGAAACGCCCCUAUAAAAGCGAGGAAUAGGAUCUUCCCCAAGAUCCAAAACAUAGAGAGCAGAAGCUGCAAAGAAUAUUCCUCCCUUUUUCUCCUCCCAGUUCUGAUGAGACUGGAGAUGCAAAAACCACCACCACCACCUCCUCCUCCUCCUCCAUCUCACCAUCUGGAGGAGGAAGAGGAAGAGGAAGAGGAAGAGGAGGAAGAGAUGGUGGCAGAGGAGGAGAUGGAAAUGGCGUCUCCCGAAUUCGUCAGCUGUGACGGCGCCGCCGCCGGCGGAGGAGGAGGAGGAGGGGAGCAGCAGCUGUUUGUGCCGCCGCUCAACUUCGCGAUGGUCGACCACGGCGUCUUCCGCUCCGGCUUCCCCGGCGUCGACAACUUCGGCUUCCUUCACUCGCUCCGCCUCCGCUCUGUCCUGUCAGUAGACCACAAAAAAAAAAAAAUCUAAUCCAUGGCUGCUGCUCUCUUUAUAUAGAGGUUUAACUUUUGAUUUAUUUAUGUUUGUUUAUUUUUGGGGUGUAGGUGUCUCUGCCCGGAGCCUUACCCGGAGGCGAACAUGGAGUUCCUCCGGGCGAAUGGGAUCAGGUUGUUUCAGUUUGGGAUCGACGGAGCCAAGGUUGGAUUCAUGGUUUUCUCCUUCUCGCUCUCUUCUUAUAUGCGCAACUUUCGUUUCCGAAGCAUUUGCACAAAACGAAUUGUCGAAACAUCUGUUCUGUUUGGUUCCGCUUUCGCUUCCGCCUUUAGCAUCCGCGGACAAAUAGAAGGGUCUGCCGAAAAGAAAUGAGAUUCAAUUUUGGUGCUUUUGAUUCCGCUGCUGCAGAAAGAAAUUAUUAGAGGGCAUUUUAGAAGAAACAUAAUACUAGAAACCAACUUUAACAAAUUCUCUUCCAAAUUGGAUCCAUUUCUUCUGGACCUCAGAAUCUUAGUCAGUUUUUCUACGUCCCAAGCGUUCCGCCGGAGGUAGCUGUUGCUGAAAGUAGAAGCAGAAGUGGGACCGAACAGACACUACAUCGUAAUGUUUGUAUAUAUAUAUAUAUAUAUAUAUAUAUAUAUAUAUUUCUUUGCUUUCCUCUAUUUGAAAAGAAGUUUCCUACCCAAAACAUUCCAUAAAUGUUACUUUUCUUGUCCAAUAUCUAAUCCUUAUCUUAUCGUGCUAAGUUACGUUAGCUACGUUCCAACUUUUUUUUCUUCUUAUGUUUAUCGUCUCUUUCUAAUGAUCAGGAUCCAGUCCAUUCCAAUUAUAUAUUCUUUGAAACCAGGUCUUGCUCCCAAUGAUAUUUAUCUUUUCCGAAUCGAACGGAAUUAUGUAACAUAAUGUUUCGGGUACGAAACCUACUCCGAUAUAGUUGUAGCCGAUUUUUCUACAGGAGAACUCAAAUAGAUAAGACCUUAUGGUUGAUCUUUCUUCUGAUCCAAGCUAACGUAAAAAAAAAGAAAAAAAAUAAAAGCUUUACUAACUGAUUCAAACGUAGAAAAAUUUCAUUGCUUAUGCGUUCGUUUUUCUGCAUACAUAUCCUUCCUUAUCUGCUGCUCUUUUGAAUAGCCUUUUGGGUGUCUUACAUACAGUUCUUAAAUGAAGAGCUGUCUUUUAGAUGUCAAAUUUGCAUGUUUACCAGUACCUUUCCAUUCUCUUAAAAUUUGCAUAAAAUUGGUCAUUUAAUGGUGCUGAUGCAGAUUUAGACUUCUCAUUCUGUUGCUUUCAGUGAGUAUUUUAUGUUAUUUAAUUUUAUUUUUUUGAAAUUCUAGGCAAGUUUCAAAAUUUCUUGAGCGUAUUGAUCAUUCACAGCCGUGCUUUUCUAAAGGGCUACAUAGCUGAAGUAUUAUUUUGUUAACAUUAUAAAAGUAAGAAAGUCUUGAAGUACUAACUGUUAGAGAUUUAUCAGAGAAUCAAUUUUAUUUUAACUCUACCAUCAAUAGUACGAACAGUAGAUGUGAUUUUUAGCAUAUUAAUAUGGUGUGCACGAAAACAUUAGGCUCUUAGGAGAGCAUCUAGAUGUUAAAUGUGCAGUCUCUAAUUCGCGUACAUCGUACUAUUUAGCUGUUUUUAUCUUAUUCACUUGUUAGCUCUAACUGAUGGGAAUAUUGCUUUGUGAUCAUGUGUCAAAACUUCUAGGUGAAUGUAUUACUUUGAUUGUCUCUGAUCUUUUAAUAAGCAACAAAUGCUACAUGCAAUAUUUGGCCUACAAUUGUUAAUGAAAGUAUUCAGAUUGAGUUCUAAUUGGAAAUAGGAGGAACAUGAAUACAGCCCUAAUUGUUCUUUGGAUGACAUGGGGUUUCUUUAGAUCUCAGUGUAGUUCGCUGAUUGUGAAAUUGGGAAGCUUGGUUUAUGCGAACGCAAUAUGUAAAUGCACCACAUAGCAAGGUUUAAAGUGCUACCCUGUGUCGUACGGCACGGGGCGGCACGUGCCCUGCACGAUACGGGGGGUCUCGAACUUCCCUCCGUGCCGCGCAGCACCGUGCCGGACGAGACAGAGCGGUACGGUGCAACGUGCCAUGGCACAGUGCCAUGCUGGCACUAUGCUUUUUUUUUUUUUUUUUUUUUUUGCUUUUUGUUUCUUUUUUUUUUUGUUCUUUGGGGUAUCCAAAGUAUUCUGGGUACCCCACGCCCCACCUCCAAAGAUAUUGCAAAUCGAAAAUUUAUUUAUUAGGUAAGUCAAAAAAAUUAUAAUUUAUAUUUUUUGUUUAUCAAUAUACGGACAAAAGAUUUGUCCGAGCCCUCCAUUUCCACUGUAGAUAUCUAUUUUUUCUUUACAAAUUAUUUUUAUCAAAAUUUGUCGCACCACGAAAUUUUUGGCGAAUUAAGGGAAUAAAAUCGAACUCAAUAAACAAAUUUUGAGCCAUAUCAAACAUAAAAUUUUAUUUUUGCGCUAGAAGAUUGAAAAUACUGAUAAAAUUAAAAGCUAAAUUAAAUCAAUUGAUACUUAAAUUAUUUAAUUUAUUUGUCAUAUAAUUUAUUGCUUAAUUUUUUUGAUAGAUCUACUAAUUUUUUGAAAAAAUUAAUUAAAAAAAAUACUUUUUUUCAAAUACUUUUUAAAAUAAUUUUUUUCAAAUAAAUUUUUUUUUGUAUUUUAUAAAAGAAAGACUAUAAUAUGGUCAAAAGAAACAAAGAAAAAAAGAUAUCUUUGCAUUUUAAAAAUUCUAAGUUGUAAAAAUUUUUAUUCUGCAUCAGUAGGUAUAAUUGUACUUUACAUACAAAAAAAAUUACAAAUAUAUUAAUUGAUGAGUUUAGUAAGCUAUACAUAGCAAAUAUUCAUAAUUAUUUGAUUAAAUCUUUCAAAUAAUAUUAUAAGAGCUUAUUGGAAUAAAAAAAAACUGAAAUAAGUCCGUGCUAAAGUGUGUCAGUAGGAGGUCGUGCGUAUCCAUCGGCACGCAAGCGUACCAUGUGUCGGCAUGCAAGUGUGUCGGUGCCGUACCGUGCCAGGCAGACAGCGGCACGCCUCGGUGCCACGGUACUUUAAACCUUACCACAUAAUGUUAUGGUUAUUCCAUGUAACCACUUAUUCGAGAUAUUUAAAUAUCUUAUUAGUUUUCAGGUAAAUAUAGUCAAAAGAUCUCUCUUGUGGAUGUUUUUUUUAUACAAAAUAGUGGUGGGGACUGCUAACACUAAAGCAUCUUGCCAGAUGCUUCUCCGGUUGUGAUUUCUAUCAUCAUUUUGAAACAUCCGAAGAGGAAGCUCUACAGGACCUUCAAGAUUUUUGAAACCUUUCAAAACAUAGAAGUGAGUACAUUUGAACAAUGCGUUCCUGAACUACACGUAGCUAGUUUCUACUUUAGUUUAUGGAGACUAAGGAUUCGACAAGUGGCAUAGAAUUUAAGGACGGCAAGCCCUUCUAACUGAUAGAUAUGUGUCUUUUCUAGAUUUCAUAGAAUAACUUUGUUGUCAGGCAAAGAUGAACUUUGCUGUAACUCACAGUACUUUCUGACAUAACCUGUCUUUAAAGUGCAACCAUUCAUAUUAGGAAGAGGAAGGACUUUGCUUCUGACAAAUUUAAUUUGUGAAUUUCAACAUUUGGCUAUUGGAACGAGGUGCCAAGUUUUGUGCUGGGAGCAACUCUCAGUGCUCUGUAUGAAGCAGAAUCAGCUUUUAAGGCAAUCAUCAGAAAAUUACUGUUCAUCCAGAAAGAUUUCCAGCUCCUUACAAUUUAUACUUCUUUCAAAAAAUUUUGAGGAUCACUUACUGAAUUCUCCUUGACCAUAAAACAUUGUUACUCAUGGAACCUAUGUCAACUUUGUGCAGUUUCAUCACCCAUAUUUUGUAUCGAUUCUGUUGUUUUAGUUUUUAUAUCACUGUCUGUUUGCAGCUGUGACAUGUUUAUUUUGAAGUGACAACAUCAGUUGCUGCUGUUUGUCUUUUGUUGGUACUUACUGGCAAAAGAGAUUGUUUCCCUCUUGUGUCUAGAUGCUAUAAUGAAAGGGCCAAACCUUUUGUUCUCCCUUUGGAAGAGGACUAACAGCAGAAAACCAUGGUAACAGGCCCUGUACCGGGAUGACUCAGUAUGUUCGGCCUAACCAUAUGAUCUCGAUUUGGAUUCCGGUCCAUUAGUAUUAGGGUUAGCAAUAGACAGUGAAGGUUAGUUAUCUGUCAUGUUAGAUCAUUUUAUUCACUUGCUUUCACAUUGUCAAUCUGAACUUACGCCCUUGCUUAAUGGGACCCUUUGCUUGUCAACCUUCAUUAGCUACAUCAUUGAGUAAAUUAUUAUUACUCCAAGGAACUUAGCUUUUUGAUCUUCAUCUUACCUAUUCCAAGUCAUUCUCAUACAACAGCAGCAAGUGUUACAAACUGCAAACUCGCAUGGAGAAUCCUUGAUUAUUGCUAGAAAGAAUCGGUUAAAGUGGUUUCUGACUGUCUUUCCUACAUGUGUCAAGUUGGCCAGCCAAACUACUAGAUAUCUUACCUAGUCAUAUGAUAAUUGCUAUCUUAUCCAAGUUUGGCUGCAGCUCCAGCCCAAAACUGAUCGCAUGAUAAACACAUGAUGCCACACACACUCUCGCACAGAUACAAGGGGCCAUUAACCCAAGAGGAUGGUGAUGGAGGGGUGUGGAGAGAGAUCGAAGUGGUGGUUAUGAUGAAUUCUUUAUGAAUAAGUAAGUGGACAAUAAAGAUGAAUUCUUUAUGAAUAAAUAAGUGGAGAGAGAUCGAAGUGGUGUUGUAAUUGUAUCAUCUUUAUUGUUUAUUAAUAUAAAGUCUCUUCUAUAGCAGACCUGUAGGCACUCGAUGAAUUCACAAAUGUCGAACGAAGCUAAAAAUAAGAAACAACACAUUGAACAACGUUUUUUACAUGCAUCUCAGUUAUAUUUUGGCGAAGUGAUGAUUGAAUUUUACUGAUAAAGACAAUCAAGAUGCUGCAAAUCGAUCCUAGAUGCCGAGGGAGCUGCUAAUGUGCAACAUCUGUUCUUUUGGUGUUAGAUCUUAAUUGAUACACAGCCAACAGUUUGCUUUUUCUCUAUCUGUUUUACCUAUGCAUGUAUUAAACAUAUAUGCCCCUACAGGAACCAUUUGUGAACAUUCCAGAGGAGACAAUUCGCGAAGCUCUCAAAGUCGUUCUUGGUAUGUGGCACACAUUAUCUAUUUCACUCCUUUGUCAGAUUUUGGCUUGAGUAAGUUGCAAAGACUUUACACCAACUACUAAUCUCUAUUGCAGAUGUUCGAAAUCACCCGGUGCUUAUUCACUGCAAACGAGGAAAGGUAAAAAUUUAGAUUCAAUUUUUUUUUUUCACCACUAAUAGUGUUUGUUAUAUAUCAGAGCUCAAUUUUGUUUUUAAACUUUAUUAUUUACCUGUCCAGCAUCGAACCGGUUGUGUGGUAGGAUGUUUGAGAAAGCUUCAGAGGUGGUGCCUCUCUUCAAUAUUUGACGAGUACCAGCGUUUUGCCGCUGCAAAAGCUAGGAUUUCUGAUCAAAGGUUCAUGGAGCUGUUUGACAUCUCGAGCUUAAAACAUUUAUCGGCCACAUUUUCAUGUUCCAAAUGCCCAUAGAUGGUUUAGGGAAAACCGCCUUUUUCGUUAUUAGCGGAGACUUCAAGUUCUAAUGAUAGUCGGGAUCUAUCAAUUCCAUGAACAUUGCAAUAAAAGUAGAGAAGAAUUCUUUUUACUUGCAUACCAUGAUUAUGGAAGAAGAUACUCUAUAGGAUAUACUGUGGCAGUUUUAAAGCCAGCUUAUGUGAGCCUUUUCUUUCAAAUGCAAGUUUGUUUGGGUGUUUAGCCAUUUAUGAAGAAAGUAUGAAGGGAUAGUGCAAUUUGUCGUCCAUCAAGGACAGCUCAUGAAUCUUAAAGCAGUAUGAAUGGUGGAUUAGACGGUCUCACUGAAUGGAGACUCGUAGAAUCCCUUUUUCUAGUAAAGUUUUGGAGUUGCGCUACGCUUCUUCGAGAGUGCGGUCUACAAGAGAAAGUUCUCUAUGGGAUCUAAUUUGUUUUGUCCGGUGCCAAAAUAAUGUUGGGCGAUUGGUUUAAAAAAGGAAUCGAAAUAGGAAUAAAAAAAACAAAAUGAUGAAAAUUCACAACUUUUCUUUUAUUUUGGUCACUGAAAAAAUCAUGUAGUUGCUUAGCUGGCAGUUACACGGCGUUUUCGUCAAAUUUAAGAACUCUUUUAAUGACUGAGACUUAAUUAUAAUAAAAUGAAGAGCUUGGAGACGUCAAUGCCAAAAAAAAAAAGCAAUGCUAUAUAUAUGUACAGCCGAAUGCAGGUGUAUAUUUUACAUUCCACCCAUCCGAUGGGUGAGAUGCUUUUACUGGUCACUCCCACCAUUAAUAUAGAUGUGCAGGGCAUAACUUGUGGUAUAAAGUAGCUUUGCUAGUGGUACACUCCAAAAUAGAAUGCAUAUCUUACAUUUUCAUCCAAGAGCAAUUAUUUUUUUUACCUAUCACAUUAAUUUUUUUUUUUAAACUACAACUAUUUGAGUUUUUGUGAAUUUUAUGAUAGGGAGUCUAAAAUCUAGACCUCCCCUUUUGGGUUAUGUAAAUAGAUUUUGUUUUUGGAGAGUAAUGCUAGUCCUACAAUCAUUUUGAGUUGAAAGCUUACAAUCCCACUCAUUCAUUAAUAGCUCCUAUUAAUUUCUCUAUACCACCGUUUGGUUGGGGGUUAAGGGGUGGAAUAACCCCUUAACCCCUAAUUUAUACCCAAACACUAUUCUUAAGGGGUGGGGUUUACUAACCCCACCCCAAACCGGGUUAGUGGGGUUUACUAACCCCACUCCCCCUCCCAACUUUAACCCCGCACGCAUCCCGAGCCCUCACCUUUUUCUUCUUUAUCAAUCAUUAACCCCAUUCCCCCUCCCAACUUUAACCCCGCACGCAUCCCGAGCCCUCACCUUUUUCUUCUUUAUCAAUCAUUAACCCCACUCCCCCUCCCAACUUUAACCCCGCACGCAUCCCGAGCCCUCACUUUUUUCUUCUUUAUCAAUUGUUAUUUUCUUAUCCCACCUACUCCAACCAAACACUUUUUUUCACUAUUUUAGACUAACUCCAACCUCCAACCAAACACUAUGGGUUUCAUAACUUGUUUUUUGUUCCUUCUACGAAAACUCCAAUGGGGUCGGCAACCUCUUUGGAUUGUAGAUUUAGCAUUUCUCUUUUUCAUUUUUUUUGGGUUAAAGUGGAAAUAAAGGUUUAUGGGGAAUUUCUUUAAGUAACCAACUGGGGUUUCCUCUCAAGUGCAAUCUACAUGCAAUAUUGAAGCUUUUUAGAAGUAUCAUUUGAGUCCGUAUGAAUUGUUGCAUGUGCACAGUAUAAGAUGUAAUGGAUUUCGUCAACUUUAUCAUAGGAAAGUGUAGAUUCAGUAGGCUUUAUCUGUCCAUAGCAAAAUGAUAAAUUGCACUAUUUGUGCCUAAACUUUAAGUUUCAUUUUGGUUCUUAAACUUGUGAUUUUGACAUGUUAGACUUCAAACUUUUAAACAAAGUUUUAGUUUUUUAGUCCCUAGAAUAGUUGCUUGUGUACCUAAUUCAUUUAUUUGUUCAUACAUCAUGCAUUUAUUGUUACUUCAUUUAUCUCGUACUUUUAAUUCAGAAGUCCAAUUUUUAUAUAGAGAAACAAUCAUAAUUUAAGGGGUGGUUGGAUUUAAAUAUGCAGUAAAAAAGUAGCAUGGUUGAUGAAUGCAGGUUACACAGAUGUACAAAUGCAGUGAGUGUAGACAAUAAUUUAUCCUCUACUAGUAUUUAUAUAUGAGGACUAAAAAGAAACUCUUAAUUAUUAGAGUUUAGAAAUUACUAACACCAACCAUCUCUAACGCAAGUGGCAAAAGAGCUUGAUGGUUGGUACCCGAGACCCAAGUUCGAAUACUAGUUGAUUCACAUUUCCAGCUAAGUUUAUUUCUAAAUAAAAUAAAUGAAGUAGGUAGCAUGCUACCUUUCUCUCAAAAAAAAGAAAAUUGCUAACGUUGAACUUGAAUGAUCAAGGACCAAAAUAUAAUUUGUAUUACAGUUCAGGGACUAUGGGUGCCAUUACCAUAGCAAAAUGACAAAGAAAAGUACUAAAAAGAGUUAGUAAUCUCUGCAACUUCUCAUCUGAGAACUGUAAAAUUUAUCAAUCUCUUCUGAUUUUUAACUAAAAAAAAAUGAAAGAAAGUGACAGGACUCGUAAGGAAAAGAUAAUUUUGAAAUAGUAAAGUUAUAAAAUUACAAUCUAAAGUGAGCGAUAUCUUCUUUUUAUAAAGUAAAUCGACUUCGAUUCUUAACAGAACUCAACUUACCCUCUAUUUUUAUGCUUUUAGUGGGCCUAGUAUUUCUGGCAGUUGCAAUGGCUUUUUUAUCUCUGUAUUUAUUUUCAAAAUAAGUACUAAAGUAUUGAUAAUUUUUUUCGCUAUCUUUUUUUAGAA